AACUAACGCUGGCGGCGUGCCUAACACAUGCAAGUCGUACGAGAAAGCCGGCUUCGGCUGGUGAGUAAAGUGGCGCACGGGUGAGUAACGCGUGGAUAAUCUGCCCUUAAGUGCGGAAUAACGUACCGAAAGGUGCGCUAAUACCGCAUAAUGCCUGGCAACACAAGUUGUCCAGCCAAAGAAGGCCUCUGUUUACAAGCUUUCGCUUCAGGAUGAGUCCGCGUACCAUUAGCUUGUUGGUGGGGUAAUGGCCUACCAAGGCUGCGAUGGUUAGCUGGUCUGAGAGGAUGAUCAGCCACACUGGAACUGAGACACGGUCCAGACUCCUACGGGAGGCAGCAGUGAGGAAUAUUGCGCAAUGGGGGCAACCCUGACGCAGCAACGCCGCGUGAGUGAGGAAGGUUUUCGGACUGUAAAGCUCUGUCGAGCGGGAAGAAGUGUACCAUGGCUAAUAUCCAUGAUAUUUGACGGUUACCG
RNAcentral lists this ribosomal RNA (477 nucleotides) under uncultured bacterium. RNAcentral's name for it is "bacterial SSU rRNA". It matches the Rfam family "Bacterial small subunit ribosomal RNA", at positions 29 to 480 of the family's 1533-position model. The record is from RNAcentral.